AUAGAGCGAGGACGCUAACAGGAACAAUGACUCAGGAUGAGGGUCAGGAACGCCAGGAGGCGAAGACAGAGGAUUGUCAGGAAGACAAACGUCCGGAGACGUAAUUAAACGGAAAUGGAAUCAACACGGAUUGUUCCGGCUAAUGGAAAAACAGGGUGUGUUGGCGGCCUGCAAGGAUUGUAAGACCCGUUAAGGGUUAUGAGUCAGGAAAAAAGGCGACAGAGUAAUCUGUCGCCUUUUUUCUUUGCUUGCUU
Molecule: small RNA, 254 nt
Filed under: Escherichia coli 97.0259
Lineage: Bacteria; Pseudomonadati; Pseudomonadota; Gammaproteobacteria; Enterobacterales; Enterobacteriaceae
Source: RNAcentral